This 379-nucleotide ribosomal RNA is filed under the name uncultured eukaryote. RNAcentral's name for it is "partial 18S ribosomal RNA". It matches the Rfam family "Eukaryotic small subunit ribosomal RNA", at positions 592 to 976 of the family's 1831-position model. The record is from RNAcentral.
CAAUAGCGUAUAUUUAAGUUGUUGCAGUUAAAAAGCUCGUAGUUGGAUUUCGGAUGGGAUUUGCCGGUCCGUCGUUACGAUGUGCACUGGCCAGUCCUAUCUUGUCGUCGGGGACUAGCUCCUUGGAUCCACUUCCUGGGACUAGGAGCUGACGAGGUUACUUUGAGUAAAUUAGAGUGUUCAAAGCAAGCCUACGCUCUGAAUACAUUAGCAUGGAAUAACACGAUAGGACUCUGGCUUAUCUUGUUGGUCUGUGAGACCAGAGUAAUGAUUAAGAGGGACAGUCGGGGACAUUCGUAUUUCAUUGUCAGAGGUGAAAUUCUUGGAUUUAUGAAAGACGAACUUCUGCGAAAGCAUUUGUCAAGGAUGUUUUCAUUAA